This 1724-nucleotide long non-coding RNA is filed under the name Astyanax mexicanus (Mexican tetra). RNAcentral describes it as "lncRNA (ENSAMXG00005001996.1)". The record is from RNAcentral. Lineage: Eukaryota; Metazoa; Chordata; Actinopteri; Characiformes; Acestrorhamphidae.
UAUGCCCAAUUUCUUUAUAAUAAGCAUAAAAGAAAUCGCUAGUAAUUUGUAUCAGUAGCUUUCUUUAAUGUUAAAUUAUAAAAGUUAAUUUUAGCUUCCUAUUACAGAUUAAUUAAAUGUAAUACACAAUAAUUAUUAUUGUCAAAUCAGUUGCCCCUUUCUGAAGACAUACAGUGCCCUAAAGUUAACUAGUAUACUACUGCUAUAGCUAUAUCUGUAUUAGGUGCUUAAACAGUUUACCCCUUCAACUUUUAACCAUGUUCCAAGAGGAAGGGGUACAAAAGAGAAAUCUGAUUGGACAGAUCGUUAUGUUAACAAGCCCCUUUACAAGAUUUUUAUUACUUAAGCUGGUAGUUAAUACUAAUUUUUCUUCCCAAUCUGCUCACAGUGGAACAAGAUGUGAACGUUGAAGUGGUGAUGCCAGUACAAGAAUCCACUCCUAGCCAGAUUUCUAUACAACCCAGGAGUCAGAAUGAUGAAAUGAUCAGGGCAAUGCGUUUGCAGCCCGCUCAUGACUUCUUCCGGGCAUUCCCGAUUUACCCAUGGGCAGAUACACAGUAUAGGCAGACUGACUCUGAUGAACUGGAUGUGGACUGGAGGUAGACUGGAGAGAACUGUCUGGGAGAGUUUGUUUUGUCUGUCUGCUUUUAUUUGUGGGCGUUUUCACACUUGCACUUUUAGCCUGGUUUAUAGUAGUAUCUUUCUUGGUCUUUUUUUAUCAUGAUCUUCCUCCUCAUGAUGUAAAGCAUGGUGCUGUUGGAUUUUGACACAGAGAAAAACCCAAGUUUACAACCUAUUUGAUUUGAGCCAAAGCAAACCAACUAUAGGUGUGAAAAUGCCCAAUGUCUUAAAAUAAUUCUUAACCUGUGUGUGUUUUUAUGUUCAGUUUUUUAGCACACUUCUUCCAUUGCAUUUAGGCAGAGUAUCAUUAUGUUGGCAAUAAUGGUUUGUGAUCAAGCUUAGAUAGGGCAUAAAAAAACAGCCUGACUCUACCCGAACCCAUGCAUGCUCUGUCUGAGCUCGACCUAUAAACUGACGUUACGAGCCCGAUUUAAACCAGUAGAGCUUCUUCACUCCAAUUCCAAGUUGUAGGUGCCUGUACUGUACUGUAUUUCUGCCCCCAAAACUUUCCAUUGUCUUGCCCGGUGGCUGCAUUCACUCCCCUUUCUUUAGUUAAAAAAAAAAUAGGUGUGCAGCCUGGUGAUUUGCAGAUAUGCGUAGCUUUUAGUUUUAGUUGUGCGGAAGGCUGCGACUGGGGACAUGUGGAGGAGGUCGCAUGUGAGCAUUGUGCAGGCCAGUCCUGCAGGAUUAUAAAAUUUACAACUUUCACAGUUCGAUUUGUUACAUUGCUAAACUGUGAUUAUCACACCAUAGCUUUAUAUAAAAUUUAAAAAUAGCAUUAAAAAGGCCCGACCCGGCCUGACUGCAGGUUGGGAAUCGGGUCAGGCUCUGGCUCAGGCAGACAACCUAAACUCUAGUUCAGGAUCAUAAUUUGACUCACUAUAGUCACAUUAGGAAGCUGGAUUAAAAUUUUCUAUAAACUAUAUACACUGUAUUGCCAAUAGUAUCCACUUGAUUGCAUUGUGUUAGGUGAUGGGUUUUUAAUGGCCGAUUAGCUCCAUUCAAAUCUUACAUUUCAUAAAGCUCUACACUCUACUGUUCUUGAUCUAGCCUGAAGCUGCAUGAAGUUUGGAGGUGUGUAGUAAUGUAGUGACUUUGCAGAA